Molecule: long non-coding RNA, 1258 nt
Organism: Pseudopipra pipra
Lineage: Eukaryota; Metazoa; Chordata; Aves; Passeriformes; Pipridae
Exons: 2
Source: RefSeq, a predicted model, not a curated record
GCAGGAGCUGAAGGGGCCCAGAGGAGAGCUGGGCCAGAGUGUUCAGCAGGGCCUGCGGGGAGAGGACAAGGGGGGAUGGCUUUACACUGAAGGAGGAGGACUCAGCUUUGAUUUGCUUUAGGAAGAUGUUCUUUUGCACUGUGGGUGUUGAAGCCCUGGCAGGGGCUGUUCAGAGAGGCUGUGGAUGCCCCAUCCAUGGGAAUGUUCAAGGUGUGCUUGGACAGGGCCCUGAGUAACCUGGUGUGGUGGAAGGUUGUUCAAAUUUGAAGAAGAUGAUUUUUAGGGUCCCUUCCAAGUCAAACCAGUCCAGGAUUCCAUCAUUCUACAGUCUCCAUCCCCCAGUGUGGAGUGGCCUUGGACCUCCUGUGACAUCAGAGCUGCCAGAGCUGUGCCCGUGUUCCAUGUGGAACUGCCAGGGCCCGGCGACGAGCACAACGCAGCCAUUCCCCUGCUGCCAGCGAACCUUCAGCAGCUCGCAGCGAACCCCUGUCACCUGGUCCAAGACCACCCUUCCCCCUGCUCCAAGAGCACCUUUCCUCCUGCUCCCAGCGCCCUGUCCUUACCAGCUCCCUGAUAGUCCGUCAGUCCAGAACUCUCCCUGCUGACUGGAUCUCAGCAUCGCUCCUGCAGGAUGUGCAGUUUUGUCCCAGUGAAGGGUGUCAGAGACACCGAGGAAGCCAUGGAUGUGGACAUGGAUGGCGAUGGCGAAGAGAGUAUGGAAGUGGACCUGGAAGAGCAUGUGGAGGAGAUGGAGGUGGACACGCAAGAGGAAGAAGAGAUGGAUGUGGAAGAGGAAGGCGAGAAGGAGGAGGCCAUGGUGCUGGGAUGAGGAGAGUCCCCCAUCAGCAGCAGGUGAGGCCCGUCCUGGCCAUGCCCUGCCCCGGGCACAGCGGGUCACCUGCCGCCAGGCUGGGGCUGGGCUGGGUGGCCCCGCUCAGGGACACGGUGCCCCGUGCCCUGGAUUGUGGCGGCACAACCCCCAGCCCCGGCCUGCCCUGCGCCUGCUUUGGGCCACACAAGCCCCGUGCCAGCGCCUGGGGCCCGGCUCCCAUCCCCAGCCGGGCUCAGGCCUGGCGCCAGAGUCCAGCUGUGCCCAGCGUGGGCCAGGCUGGGGGCACAGGGAACGGCCAGCAGGGCCCGACUGCACUGACCGUGCCCUUGCUUUUCUUGCAGGACUGACGGACCUGCCGGCCACGGAAUCGGCCACUUGUACAUAUGUUUUACAUGUUGUUCUGUAAAUACGUUCUAUAUUAUUGAA